CCGUCUCCGAAUGCAUCUNAAUUUUAAUUUGAUCAUGGCUCAGAUUGAACGCUGGNUUGCAGGCCUAACACAUGCAAGUCGAGCGGAUGACGGGAGCUUGCUCCUUGAUUCAGCGGCGGACGGGUGAGUAAUGCCUAGGAAUCUGCCUGGUGGUGGGGGACAACGUUUCGAAAGGAACGCUAAUACCGCAUACGUCCUACGGGAGAAAGCAGGGGGACCUUCGGGUCUUGCGCUAUCCAGGAUGAGCCUAGGGUCGGGAUUAGCUUAAGGUUUGGGUGGGGUAAUUGGCUCACCCAAAGGGCGACCGAUCCGUAAACUNGGUCUGAGAAGGGAUGAUUCAGNUCAACACCUUGGGAAACCUGAAGAACAACUAGGGUCCCCAGAAACUUCCCUUACCUGGGUGAAGUGGCAGCCAGUGGGGGCGAACUACAUUUGGACCACAUUGGGGCCGAAAAAGGCCUUGGAAUCCCAAGGCCAAUUG
RNAcentral lists this ribosomal RNA (481 nucleotides) under uncultured bacterium. RNAcentral describes it as "bacterial SSU rRNA". It matches the Rfam family "Bacterial small subunit ribosomal RNA", at positions 1 to 351 of the family's 1533-position model. The record is from RNAcentral.